This is a long non-coding RNA of Cydia pomonella (codling moth), 1885 nucleotides long. RefSeq lists it as uncharacterized. The transcript has 3 exons. The record is from RefSeq and is a predicted model, not a curated record. NCBI's taxonomy places the organism in Eukaryota, Metazoa, Arthropoda, Insecta, Lepidoptera, Tortricidae.
UCUUUGACACACUGACAGAUAUCACAGAUUAGAAAGAUAGGCAGGAAACAGACAGAUAAACACUUAUUAAUAGACAACCAGACUCGGUUAAAGUUUAAUCGUACAAUGGAUUAAACUAAGAAACAACACUAAUUUCAAGGUAAGAAAUAUUUUAAUCUAUAAAUAAAAUAAGUGUACUAUUGCCAAAUUCAAAUACAUAAAUUUAAUCAUACCACCCUCUUAAGUCCCACGGCCGCCAUAUCGCGUCCAAAAUUACAAUCAAAAUUCAUCAUAGAUGUAAAUUCUAACAUUGUUUUAGCUGGCAAUUUAGAACUCUGGUAGCGAUUAGCAAGGUAAGUGAUUAGAAACAUAGGUUAUGCUAUUGUUUAAAAUGUGACUGUUUUGUUUUAGAGGGUGAACGUGAGAAAAUAAUCCUUAGCCGUCAUAUAAUUUCCUCGGAAAGGCUCAAAAUCAAAAGGCACGGAUCCGCCGCAUAAUUCCGUCAGUAGUUUCCCAGUGACCAUCAACAAGACAGCUGCACUGAGCUGUGGAGCAGAAAUAGGCUGACAGUUGACUUGAUGUAAACUUGACAGAAUAAAUAGCACUGACGUUUUCUUUCUCUUCGUUGGCAAUGAUUUGCGAAACAAACUCCAUACAAAACUUUUCUUGUGCCUAGUUGCGUCAGCCUGCUCUCAUCUAUGGCGCUUUGUGACAUUUGAUUAACAUGCCAAAUGUAGCUAAAUCAAGAUUUUCCGCGUAUCUUGUUAAAAUUGUUGUAUUCUUUUAACAAGUAUUUGCUAAAACGUAAUAUUCAGAAUCACAGUGACCUGUCACUGAUAUAUCAUUCUGCCAGAGUGAUUUACGAAUACGUUUUACCAGAAUGAUUCUGGUAAAACGUAUUAAAACAUGUUAGAACAUUCAUAUUAUACGAGUACGCCAACGGCAACGGUUGCAAUGGAUUGCGAAUUUCCCAAGGAGUUUCUUGUUUCAAACCUGGUGACUGUAAAGCAGGAGCCGUCAUGCGAGGUCAUCUCUGACAUAGGACAUGUUGAGCGGGGUGUACCCAUGAAGCUGAAGGACUGCUGUGUGCGGCUCGAGCGGAUUUCCGUGGACAAUGUUGAAAAUGAUGAUUAUUAUGUUGCAGGUGAGCGAUGUUUUUUAAUAUACCGGGUCUCCGGUAAUUAAUGGAUGUUCUUACUUUUUUAUUUUUCUAAAUUUUUAUUUUUAUUGAUUACUAUAUAAAUUUAAGAAUUGAAUUAUAACAUAUUAUAAUAUUUGUACGUCAUUAGUUACGUCUUUUGGGUCACUUUUAAAACCCUGGUUUUAUGGCACCUUAUUACCUAUUUACAAUUAAUUUUUUUAGUCCAGCACUCAAUUAAAUGGAUCUAGUGAGAAUAACCCGAUAUAACCGGUAGUCAAUUAAAUUACUGCCCGUUAUAUCGGGUUAUUCUCACUAGGUACCACCAAGUUGUUACCCGUGGUAACUAUUGGGAUUUUUUUCCCACCUUUUACCAGUGGUAACCUUGAAAAAAAAAUCCACUAGUUACCAUCAAAAACUUGUUAGCGUUCAAUAUUAAUAAAAAAAGUAUAAAUAUUGAGUGCUCUAAUGAAUACCUAAUUAAUUAAAAGUAGAAUUAAUUAUAAGUUUUAGUUAUUAGUUUAAUUAUAAGUCGAUUACUGUUUCAGUAAACUGCCUUAAAAGUGAUCAAAAAUAGCCGGUCUUUGACUGAUUUGUUUGUUCGUUCGUAUAAUUGUGACGUUAUUUAUUGAAAGGGACCUUAUUGUCGAUAGCGCUUACGCCAUUAUCAGCGAUACAUCUAUAUAAAUACAACGCUGCUCUACGCAGUGCGGCGUAAGCGCCCCCGACAAAAGAUCCAGUCUUCAUAGAUAACGUCACAAUUCAUUC